GAUGAACGCUGACAGAAUGCUUAACACAUGCAAGUCAACUUGAACUUCGGUUUGGGUGGCGGACGGGUGAGUAACGCGUACAGAACUUGCCUCACAGUUAGGGACAACAUUUGGAAACGAAUGCUAAUACCUGAUAUUAUGAUUUUAGGGCAUCCUAGAAUUAUGAAAGCUAUAUGCGCUGUGAGAGAGCUUUGCGUCCCAUUAGCUAGUUGGAGAGGUAACGGCUCACCAAGGCGAUGAUGGGUAGCCGGCCUGAGAGGGCGAACGGCCACAAGGGGACUGAGACACGGCCCUUACUCCUACGGGAGGCAGCAGUGGGGAAUAUUGGACAAUGGACCAAGAGUCUGAUCCAGCAAUUCUGUGUGCACGAUGAAGUUUUUCGGAAUGUAAAGUGCUUUCAGUUGGGAAGAAAAAAAUGACGAUACCAACAGAAGAAGUGACGGCUAAAUACGUG
Molecule: ribosomal RNA, 454 nt
Filed under: uncultured bacterium
Lineage: Bacteria
Description: partial 16S ribosomal RNA
Rfam family: Bacterial small subunit ribosomal RNA
Source: RNAcentral